RNAcentral lists this transfer RNA (68 nucleotides) under Ixodes sinensis. Its description in RNAcentral is "tRNA-Ile". The record is from RNAcentral. Lineage: Eukaryota; Metazoa; Arthropoda; Arachnida; Ixodida; Ixodidae.
AAUAAAAUGCCUGAAUAAAAGGAUUAUCUUGAUAGGAUAAAUUAUGUAACUUUUUGUUACUUUUAUUA